RNAcentral lists this transfer RNA (77 nucleotides) under Methanobacteriota archaeon. RNAcentral describes it as "Euryarchaeota archaeon tRNA-Thr". It matches the Rfam family "tRNA". From Rfam's summary of the family: Transfer RNA (tRNA) molecules are approximately 80 nucleotides in length. Lineage: Archaea; Methanobacteriati; Methanobacteriota. RNAcentral also lists the same sequence under 2 other names. The record is from RNAcentral.
GCCUCAGUAGCUCAGCCCGGUAGAGCACCUGAUUUGUAAUCAGACGGUCGGGGGUUCGACUCCCUCCUGGGGCUCCA